Molecule: long non-coding RNA, 1087 nt
Organism: Poecilia latipinna (sailfin molly)
Lineage: Eukaryota; Metazoa; Chordata; Actinopteri; Cyprinodontiformes; Poeciliidae
Exons: 2
Source: RefSeq, a predicted model, not a curated record
AGACGCUGACGAAUAGAUCACUGAAGCACAUUUAUUGUCUUCAUUUGGUUUUGCACCGAAACACAUGAAGACGACUGAACAGAAGCAGGAACAAAGGCAUGUAAUGCAAAAAGUUUCUGCUGCUGUCAACUGAAAUCUGCAUGUCAUCAAAAACAACAAUUUAGAAAUCAGUGCCAACAGUUGUUUAUUAAGCAGGUAUCAGGUGAAACCACUGCAUUUUCAUGGCAACAAUCACAUAAGUCAUUUCCAUAAGAAUAAAAGCAGAGAAAGUCUAUCAGCUGGUUUGUCAUAAAUCAGGGAUCUGUUUAGAAGAGCAGUAGCUGAGCUGUUAACUUAGCUGAGAAAGUACUUGAUUAAUUAAACAGCAUGUUCAACUGUAUUAAUUCACAAUUAGAUGCAUAUCAAAAAAGCUUUGAGCUGCUGGUCACUAAGAGCAGACAACAGAUGAAAAGGUUAAAAUUCAUAAUGGUUUUAGUAUUGUAAGCUGUCUAUGAUUACACUAUAAAAAUGAGGCCUAAAAUACAUUUCCUUGAAUCUCUUCUCUGUGUCUGACAUUGCAUCUCAUCAGAGAGUAGACUUAUAACAAACCAUCCCUCCAUCACAGCACCUUCAUUUGUCUGGUGCAACAGAAACCUUCAAUGCACUAAACACCUGUUGCAGAUACCGUGCUCAGAAAUGUGUGGUAUAUGCUGUAUGCCAGCUCCACUGUCCUUCAUGUAAACACAGAAAACUUGGAAAACAAGAAGUCUUCUGGCACACAUCUACUUCCAUUUCAGUCCAGUUCCAAAAUACUCCAUUUUUAAAUGGAGCCUAACGUCCUCUUCAGCGAUGUCGUCCACAUUACUUAUUACCUGCCCCGACAGGGUUGAUAGGCAUGUUUUUCUAAGAGCUCUGGACUUCUAACUAAUUCUACAUUGACAUAUCAGGGAGGUGUAAGGAUAAACUUAAAACUGCCUUUUAAUUUGAAAGACUUGGCUAAAAGUCACUCUACAAUGGGGUAGCUGGCAAUAGUUGUUUUCUACAUUCAGCUUGAGUUAGAUUAAAAGCCUUUACAAAAAUUUAUUCUUGAAAAUAUCAAUGUAAUUUG